UCUCGGGGUUACAGCCUUGCUGAAUUAUUCACCCUUGUCUUUUGCGUACUUCUUGUUUCCUUGGUGGGUUCGCCCACCACUAGGACAAACAUAAACCUUUUGUAAUUGCAAUCAGCGUCAGUAACAAAUUAAUAAUUACAACUUUCAACAACGGAUCUCUUGGUUCUGGCAUCGAUGAAGAACGCAGCGAAAUGCGAUAAGUAGUGUGAAUUGCAGAAUUCAGUGAAUCAUCGAAUCUUUGAACGCACAUUGCGCCCUUUGGUAUUCCAAAGGGCAUGCCUGUUCGAGCGUCAUUUGUACCCUCAAGCUUUGCUUGGUGUUGGGCGUCUUGUCUCUAGCUUUGCUGGAGACUCGCCUUAAAGUAAUUGGCAGCCGGCCUACUGGUUUCGGAGCGCAGCACAAGUCGCACUCUCUAUCAGCAAAGGUCUAGCAUCCAUUAAGCCUUUUUUUCAACUUUUGACCUCGGAUCAGGUAGGGAUACCCGCUGA
RNAcentral lists this ribosomal RNA (488 nucleotides) under Alternaria sp. 30452. Its description in RNAcentral is "eukaryotic LSU rRNA". The stretch from base 140 to 293 matches the Rfam family "5.8S ribosomal RNA". Lineage: Eukaryota; Fungi; Ascomycota; Dothideomycetes; Pleosporales; Pleosporaceae. The record is from RNAcentral.